AGGACGAACGCUGGCGGCGUGCUUAACACAUGCAAGUCGAGCGAGGCCCUUCCUUCGGGGAGGUGCCCUAGCGGCGAACGGGUGAGUAACACGUGGGCAACCUGCCCCUAGCACUGGGAUAACUCCGGGAAACCGGGGCUAAUACCGGAUAUGACCUUCUUGGGCAUCCUCGAAGGUGUAAAGGAUUCUGGCUAGGGAUGGGCCCGCGGCCUAUCAGCUUGUUGGUGGGGUAAUGGCCUACCAAGGCGACGACGGGUAGCCGGCCUGAGAGGGUGACCGGCCACACUGGGACUGAGACACGGCCCAGACUCCUACGGGAGGCAGCAGUGGGGAAUCUUGCACAAUGGGCGAAAGCCUGAUGCAGCGACGCCGCGUGAGGGAUGACUGCCUUCGGGUUGUAAACCUCUUUCAGCAGGGACGAAGCGAAAGUGACGGUACCUGCAGAAGAAGCACCGGCAACUACGUGCCAGCAGCGC
This 476-nucleotide ribosomal RNA is filed under the name uncultured bacterium. RNAcentral describes it as "SSU rRNA". It matches the Rfam family "Bacterial small subunit ribosomal RNA", at positions 26 to 518 of the family's 1533-position model. The record is from RNAcentral.